AGGUAAGCUACUAAGAGCGAAUGGUGGAUGCCUUGACUGGUAAAGGCGAUGAAGGACGUACUAGACUGCGAUAAGCUACGGGGAGCUGUCAAGAAGCUUUGAUCCGUAGAUUUCCGAAUGGGGCAACCCAAUGUAUAGAGAUAUACAUUACCUAUAUAGGAGCGAACGAGGGGAAUUGAAACAUCUUAGUACCCUCAGGAAAAGAAAUCAAUAGAGAUUGCGUCAGUAGCGGCGAGCGAAAGCGCAAGAGGGCAAACCCAGUGCUUGCACUGGGGGUUGUAGGACUGCAAUGUGCAAGAGGUGAGUUUAGCAGAACAUUCUGGAAAGUAUAGCCAUAGAGGGUGAUAGUCCCGUAUGCGAAAAACAAACCUUAGCUAGCAGUAUCCUGAGUAGGGCGGGACACGAGAAAUCCUGUCUGAAGCUGGGUCGACCACGAUCCAACCCUAAAUACUAAUACCAGAUCGAUAGUGCACAAGUACCGUGAGGGAAAGGUGAAAAGAACUGAGGUGAUCAGAGUGAAAUAGAACCUGAAACCAUUUGCUUACAAUCAUUCAGAGCCCUAUGUAGCAAUACAGGGUGAUGGACUGCCUUUUGCAUAAUGAGCCUGCGAGUUGUGGUGUCUGGCAAGGUUAAGCAAACGCGAAGCCGUAGCGAAAGCGAGUCUGAAUAGGGCGCUUAGUCAGAUGCUGCAGACCCGAAACGAAGUGAUCUAUCCAUGAGCAAGUUGAAGCUAGUGUAAGAACUAGUGGAGGACUGAACCCAUAGGCGUUGAAAAGCCCCGGGAUGACUUGUGGAUAGGGGUGAAAGGCCAAUCAAACUUCGUGAUAGCUGGUUCUCUCCGAAAUAUAUUUAGGUAUAGCGUUGUGUCGUAAUAUAAGGGGGUAGAGCACUGAAUGGGCUAGGGCAUACACCAAUGUACCAAACCCUAUCAAACUCCGAAUACCUUAUAUGUAAUCACAGCAGUCAGGCGGCGAGUGAUAAAAUCCGUCGUCAAGAGGGAAACAACCCAGACUACCAGCUAAGGUCCCUAAAUCUUACUUAAGUGGAAAACGAUGUGAAGUUACUUAAACAACCAGGAGGUUGGCUUAGAAGCAGCCAUCCUUUAAAGAAAGCGUAAUAGCUCACUGGUCUAGUGAUUUUGCGCGGAAAAUAUAACGGGGCUAAAGUAAGUACCGAAGCUGUAGACUUGCACACAACUUAGAUUAUUUAAGUUUAGAAUAUGAGAAACUAAGUUAUAUGUUUAGUUAUAUUUUUACUGAUUUUUAUAGAGUAAAGAUAGAAAUAAAACUUAGUAAAAUCAGUAAAAAUAUUCUUAGACUAAAGUUAAGUAGUUUAAGUUGUGUGCAAGUGGUAGGAGAGCGUUCUAUUUGCGUCGAAGGUAUACCGGUAAGGAGUGCUGGAGCGAAUAGAAGUGAGCAUGCAGGCAUGAGUAGCGAUAAUUAAUGUGAGAAUCAUUAACGCCGUAAACCCAAGGUUUCCUACGCGAUGCUCGUCAUCGUAGGGUUAGUCGGGUCCUAAGUCGAGUCCGAAAGGGGUAGACGAUGGCAAAUUGGUUAAUAUUCCAAUACCAACAUUAGUGUGCGAUGGAAGGACGCUUAGGGCUAAGGGGGCUAGCGGAUGGAAGUGCUAGUCUAAGGUCGUAGGAGGUUAUACAGGCAAAUCCGUAUAACAAUACUCCGAGAACUGAAAGGCUUUUUGAAGUCUUCGGAUGGAUAGA
RNAcentral lists this ribosomal RNA (1717 nucleotides) under Campylobacter coli. RNAcentral's name for it is "partial 23S ribosomal RNA". It matches the Rfam family "Bacterial large subunit ribosomal RNA", at positions 1 to 1605 of the family's 2925-position model. The record is from RNAcentral. Lineage: Bacteria; Pseudomonadati; Campylobacterota; Epsilonproteobacteria; Campylobacterales; Campylobacteraceae.